Molecule: ribosomal RNA, 52 nt
Filed under: Lophodermium conigenum
Lineage: Eukaryota; Fungi; Ascomycota; Leotiomycetes; Rhytismatales; Rhytismataceae
Description: partial 28S ribosomal RNA
Source: RNAcentral
CUCGGAUCAGGUAGGGAUACCCGCUGAACUUAAGCAUAUCAAAAUCGGAGGA